UUGGCGGCGCACCUACCCAGAAAAGGAUUCUUAAAUAAUUUUCAAGACACAGGAACUUUAACUCGUAACUAAGGAGAAAUUCAAUUCGGCAAAAAUGUCACUCCGUGUCUUCAUUCUGGCUCUCUCUCUUACCCUGGUAAUUCUUGGCGCAUCACUGACGUCAGGGAGCGCCGAUUCCGACUGGGAUAACUGGUACAACAGAGGAAUGGGUGUAAGGAUAAUUGAUGAACUCGGAAAGCGAGGCAAUGGACUCGGCAGCGGGCGAUAUGUUCGAUGCAUCAAAAAGGGAACAGAUCAGCGAUGUUUCUGUGACGUGCUGCGGAACAAGAAGGAUCCCGGGUACUACCUCGCAUGCUCCAAAUUCUCACUUGAACCUCCGAUUGAGGAGGAGUGAACAACGACCCUUCAUGAUGAAUAAUGUUGUUUUUGUUAAGCCUACACAUGACUUCUUCCCCUCAAAUAAAACUGAAAUAUGUACCCCACGUGACGUUCGUUGAAAGACCUUUCUCCACUGAAGUCGAAUUUUUGCAACAUAACGCACUGCCUAGGAAACGGAAUACACCCUUUCACGGUUACAAUAGUGUGCAUGCACUAAGAUUUGCGCCGUCUUAUUUAAAAUGACGCCCAUGUCAAUAUGAUGUGAGCGCAAAGCGCAGGCAGUGACACAACAAUACAUGCUCAUCUGUAAACUUUGAUGACGCAAUGUUUGCGCGCAAAUUAAAAUGGCGGCCUAAACCUGCUUUGUAAUAGAACGCCCUCAUAUGUCCAGUUGUACUUGAAAGCUAGUAAACCAAUAUUAGAAUGAAAACAAACUUGUUAUUUAGAGCUCAUUCGAGAUGAAGAGUCAAAAGCUAGUUGAUAAAAAAGCAAUAUAAUUUGGUAAUGAGAGGGAGGCGUCGAUUUCCACUUAUUCGAGGAUCAUAUACAUUUAUUCUUUGAUUUGAAAUAUUGUAAAUAUUACUUUUUGUAAGAACUUGAAUGAUUAAUAAUAUUGCAGUUCAUAUUUUGUUCACCACAUUUAUUUGAAAUUCCAUGGUCUGCUUAUUUCUUGAUGUCGCUAGAUUCAACGUCCUGGGCCAGAUUAAUACAUGAGUGUGGGUCUCUCCUUUGGGUAAUAUUCCACUUGUAGAGGAAAUGUACCGAAAUAAACGUUUUCUUGAAAUAAAUAAAGCAAUGAGAGCAUUUUAAUGUGAGAUCAUAUGGACUAAUUUAUGGAAGACUGAUGAUACUCUCGUUAAUUGUCUUGAUGUCGUGGUUGUGGUUUUUGUUUUUGUAUUAUGUAAAGAAUCGAGUGGUUAAAUUCUCUUCGUCAGAUACUAUAAUUUCACCAUACUUCGUAGUCUCGAUACAUGUAAUUCCUAAUACGUUCCCUAAUUAAAAUUGUCUUUCAUAUCUUCGUUCGUGUUAUUUAUUCCCUAUUCCUUUUACUUGUUACUCGUUAUUUUUGUUAUCUAUUUACUUAUUUGCAUUUUCAUUUGUAUUACCUUUGUUAGUGGUUUAAUCAUUGCAGUCUGAUUGUCGUUAAAUUAACGUAAAUUUAGUGACGAUGAGUACCUAAGUUUGGAAAUGUUAAAGAAUGACGAGAUUACGCGUUAUGUAAUAAUAUACAAGCGUUUUUCCCCAAUAUUAUUAUUAUUAUUUUAUUAUUUGUAAGGGAUGUAUUUUUAGUCAUCGUUCAAUUAAUGCUAAUCGACUUUAAUAAGGCAAUUUCAUUUUUGUUUUGCUUUUGCUUUUGUUUGCAUUUGUUUGUUUAAUUAAGAUGUUGCAUUAUGAUGAUCUUCAUAAAUUAAUUAAGAUUAUUUUUGUAUAAUGUGAUCAAUAGAAAACGUACUGUUUGAAUGAUUUAAUCUAAUGUAAUAUAAUUAUAUAUGAAAUUUUGGGGAUUGGAUGUAUCAUGUUUUCAAAACACAUUAUUCAUUAAUUCAUGUGUUCACGUUUAGAUUAAAGGUAACGUGUGUUAACCUAUAUCAGAAUAUUAGAAUGUACGUUUUCAAUCAUUUUUUUUCUUCUUUUAAAUACGUGGUUAUCAUCUAUUCUUU
This 2039-nucleotide long non-coding RNA is filed under the name Strongylocentrotus purpuratus (purple sea urchin). Its description in RNAcentral is "uncharacterized LOC105437516". Lineage: Eukaryota; Metazoa; Echinodermata; Echinoidea; Camarodonta; Strongylocentrotidae. The record is from RNAcentral.